RNAcentral lists this ribosomal RNA (1452 nucleotides) under metagenome. RNAcentral's name for it is "bacterial SSU rRNA". It matches the Rfam family "Bacterial small subunit ribosomal RNA". The record is from RNAcentral.
AGAGUUUGAUCCUGGCUCAGGAUGAACGCUGGCGGCAGGUCUGACACAUGCAAGUCGAACGGUAAGGGAGCAAUCCCCUAGAGUGGCGAACGGCUGAGUAACACGUAGGAAUCUACCCCGAGGUCUGGGAUAACGAACCGAAAGGUCCGCUAAUACCGGAUACAUCAGUAAUGAGGAAAGAUUUAUCACCUCGGGAGGAGCCUGCGGCGUAUUAGCUUGUUGGUGGGGUAAUGGCCUACCAAGGCUGUGAUGCGUAGCUGGUCUGAGAGGACGAUCAGCCAGACUGGGACUGAGACACGGCCCAGACUCCUACGGGAGGCAGCAGUUCAGAAUCUUGCACAAUGGACGAAAGUCUGAUGCAGCCAUGCCGCGUGUGCGAAGAAGGCCUUCGGGUCGUAAAGCACUGUCAGAGGGAAAGAUCAUGACGGUACCCUCAAAGGAAGCCACGGCUAAUUACGUGCCAGCAGCCGCGGUAAUACGUAAGUGGCGAGCGUUAUCCGGAAUUACUGGGCGUAAAGCGUUCGUAGGCGGUGCAGAAAGUUGGGUUUGAAAGCCCGGGGCUCAACUCCGGACCCGGAUCCAAAACUUCUGCGCUUGAGCAUAUCAGGGGGCAGUGGAAUUCCCGGUGUAGCGGUAAUAUGCGUAGAUAUCGGGAGGAACACCAGUGGCGAAGGCGACUGCCUGGGGUAUUGCUGACGCUGAGGAACGAAGGCUAGGGUAGCGAACGGGAUUAGAUACCCCGGUAGUCCUAGCGGUAAACGAUGGGCACUAGGUGUCAGGGGCUUCGACCCCCUUGGCGCCGCCGCUAACGCAUUAAGUGCCCCGCCUGGGGAGUACGGCCGCAAGGUUGAAACUCAAAGGAAUUGACGGGGGCCCGCACAAGCAGUGGAGCAUGUGGUUUAAUUGGAUGCUACGCCAAGAACCUUACCAAGACUUGACUUCCCAGUGUAAUCCUUUAGAAAUAGAGGACCCCUUCGGGCACUGGUGACAGGUGGUGCAUGGUUGUCGUCAGCUCGUGCCGUGAGGUGUUGGAUUAAGUUCCGCAACGAGCGCAACCCUCGUGUUUAGUUGCCAUCAUUAAGUUGGGCACUCUAGACAGACUGCCGGCGUCAAGCCGGAGGAAGGUGGGGAUGACGUCAAAUCAUCAUGCCCCUUACGUCUUGGGCUACACACGUGCUACAAUGGGCGAUACAACGGGUUGCCACACCGCGAGGUGGAGCGAAUCCUUCAAAGUCGUCCUCAGUUCGGAUUGCAGGCUGCAACUCGCCUGCAUGAAGCUGGAAUUGCUAGUAACCGUGCAUCAGCAUGGCGCGGUGAAUACGUACCCGGGCCUUGUACACACCGCCCGUCACACCACGAAAGCAGGCAACACCCGAAGUCCGUGAGCUAACCCGCAAGGGAGGCAGCGGCCGAAGGUGGGGUCAGUGAUUGGGGUGAAGUCGUAACAAGGUA